RNAcentral lists this small nuclear RNA (191 nucleotides) under Myotis brandtii (Brandt's bat). RNAcentral describes it as "7SK RNA". It matches the Rfam family "7SK RNA", at positions 1 to 192 of the family's 331-position model. From Rfam's summary of the family: 7SK was discovered as an abundant small nuclear RNA in the mid-70s but a possible function has only recently been suggested. Two independent studies have found that 7SK RNA binds the CDK9/cyclin T complex (known as elongation factor P-TEFb). The record is from Rfam by way of RNAcentral. Lineage: Eukaryota; Metazoa; Chordata; Mammalia; Chiroptera; Vespertilionidae.
GGAGAGGCCACGGGCUGUGACCCCUGUCACCCCAGUGAUCGCCAGGUGCCAGGGUUGACUCUGUGGAUCUGGCUGGCGGGCAGGUGUCCCUGCCUCCCUCACCCUCCACCUGCGUCCCUCCCUAAGCUGCGCACCGUGUGGAAGAGGACGACCUUCCCGGGUGGAGGAGAGGACCUUCUCGGAAGGGGGGA